RNAcentral lists this long non-coding RNA (2475 nucleotides) under Nicotiana tabacum (common tobacco). RNAcentral's name for it is "long non-coding RNA (NTAB_LNC006619)". Lineage: Eukaryota; Viridiplantae; Streptophyta; Magnoliopsida; Solanales; Solanaceae. The record is from RNAcentral.
UUUCCUUUCCCCCUCUCUCUCUCUCAUCACUCUCUCUUCUCCCUAUCCCUCCAUCGCCCAAACCCUAGCGUCGCUAGUCGGAAAUCACCCCAUGGAGGUGGCGCACCACAAAACCACCCCAUUUGUACAUCGUUCUCUUCAUCUCUUCAUCCUCUAUACCUAAAUCUCCAAAAUCAAUCCCAAUCUCCGUAAAUAAAAAACUAACUAUAACCCUAGCUGCUAACCGACUGCCGCUUACCACCGUCAAAACCCCACAAAUCUUACAUCAUCCUCUUUAUCUCACCCAUCUCUUCAUGAAUUCAAGCCCUAUUUCCUUCAAAUCCCUCUCAAUCCCUCGAAUCUGGCGACCACCCCUACUGCAUUACCGCUACUAACCAAACCACCAUCCAAACACUGCACAUUUACCACCAAAAUCACCAUUAUUGAUCCUCUGCCCUUGGUCUAUCUCGUGAAUCGAAGCACGAUUUAUCGUUGGUGAUAUCAUAACUGACCACUGGAUUGCCAGAAUUGACAGCCACGAUUCACCAAUUAGAAAUAGUGCUUGAAGUUCACAUCCCUGUCGUUUUGAUAUUCCACCACUAUUUGGGUGCAUUCGAACUUAUGUAUACCUUAAUCCUUCCCCUUCGUUGUUCUUCUAUUUUGCUCUGCGCAUAUUUUAGGUGCUAGUUUAAUUUUAGUUUCUUUUAUUUUAUCUUUCUAGUUAGUAUGAUAUUGUUUUAUGAUUUCAUGCUUAGUUGGUAUUUUGUUGUAUCUUGUAUGAAUUGUCAAAGUGUGAUUUCUGAUGUUACUGCUCGUUUAAUGACGUGUUUAACUUGUUCAAACAACAUAAUCGAGCAAAAUUUUAUUAUUGUCAUUUUUCCCCUUUUUUACGAGCAAACGUUUAUCAUUGUCAUGUUUUCCCCCUUCUUAGUUCACCUUUGAUUAAUCGGUAAAUUAAUAACUUUGCUUACUCUAUAUUUGAUCAAUGAAUGAAUAAGUUGAUAUAGUUGGUAUUUGCCUUUUGUAAAUUGGCCAUUUAGUUUAGCUCGUUGACUGGUUAGGUUAAGUGUUUACAAUCGUGUUAGUCUCUUAUUAGUCCAAAUGUGAUUAGACCAUCUCCAAGGCUACUCCAUUUCUUGCACCAAAUCCAAAUUUGGUGCAAGAAAUGGUGUUUUUUUGCUCCAAUGCAACACUAAUUCUUGCACUAUUAUAGAGCAUGAAUAGUUUUGCACCAAAUUUAGUGCAACACUAUUCAUCGCUCUAAAUUUGGUUUAAUAUUAUUUUAUUCAAUCUUUUUAUUUUGUGGACUUUUAAUUUAUCAUAUAUUGUGUAUAUAAUUAAUUUAAUUUAUAUCCUAUUUUUUGAUAUAUUAAUUUUUGUAUAUAUUAUAUUUAUAUAAAAUUAUAAGUUAAUUUUAUUAUUAUUAUAAUUGUAUAAAAAGAAAUAUAACCAUUAUUUAAAUUUGACUAUGAUGUAAUAUUUAUUUAAUUAUCUUUUAUCAAUGAUUUCACUUUUAAUUAACUUAUCCUUUAAAAUAAUUUUAUAAUAAAUGAUUAUAUAAGUGGUGAAUGUGAAUUAUAUAUAAUGAAUAUGGAAAAAAGAAAAAAAGAUAGUAUUAGUUUGAAGGAAAUAAAAAAUGAAAAGUAAAUUAAAGAUAAUAAUAUAAUAUAAAAGAGAGAGAAGAUUUGGUAUAAAAAAUGGUGUAAUGGUUGGAGUAAAUUAGGUGUUACACUAUUUUGGCGUGAAAUUUGGUGCAAGAAAUGGUGCUAGCCUUGGAGAUGGCCUUAAAAUUUAGCCUUUUGUAGUUUAGUUACUGGUAUUGGUAAAAGCUGAAAGGUAGAUGGGUGUAAUCAUGAAUUAGAGUGCAUAAUAGGUUUGUUUUUUACUAGUACUAGUAGGGUGGCUAAAAGUACAUUUUCUUUCACUCUUCUGCUACAGUAGGUUGGAGACUGUCCUCUGCCUUUUUUGUUUGACAAGACCUUGAGUAGUGUUUUGGCACAUCAAGUCAGUCUUUUUGGACAGACUUUUGGUGAAACAAAAUCUAUCCAAAAAAUUGCUUUUUUUGCCUACUUAAGAGGUCCUCUUUUUCACGCUUUAACACACAUUUUCUACACAUCUUUCACACAUUAAAGACACAACCUUGAGAGUAAAAGAGAGCAACUGAACACCUUAUAGAAAGCUAGAAAAUUGUGAUCUUUGGUGAGUGAUUUUUUAGAGUGCAAAAACUUUGAGAAAAGUAGAAAAGCCCUUUAGAAAAUUUGUGAAGUUGUUAGCUACUAGUUUAAAGCAUCUCACUGAGAUUUUUAGGUUGUUCUAACAUUGAUUAGUUGCUGGUUCUGCUGCAAUUCUUGCUUAUUCUAAUGCUAUAUUUUUAUAAUUCUGUGACCCAAGUAACUCUUUAAAUUUGUAUUGCAGAUUCUUUCAUAGUAAUAAAGAUGUGAACUCGAUUUGGACUGAUAUGUUUUCUUUACAUUUGUAGCUGAGGUUGUAUUCCGC